Non-coding RNA from Parasteatoda tepidariorum (common house spider), 863 nucleotides. The record is from RefSeq and is a predicted model, not a curated record. NCBI's taxonomy places the organism in Eukaryota, Metazoa, Arthropoda, Arachnida, Araneae, Theridiidae.
UCACAGAACUUCAAAAUAAAACCAAAAGUCUACAAGCAAGGAAUGAUGAACUAACUCGCGGAAACUGCGCAAUAAAGAAAGAAAUCGGCGAACUAUACGAAGUUAUAUGCUUUAAUUAAAACAGUAUUCUCGCAGACCGAAUUUUGAACAGUAGCUUAAGAAUCUGAAAAUGAAAAUAUCCCAGCUUGAUACUCUUUUCAAUACCCAGACAGUCGAGAAUUUAAUCAUAGCCCACUGAGUUCCCAGUUUCAAUUAAGAAAAACCAAAAUCUAUCGUUGUUUAAGUAAAAUGCAAAACAAUACGAGACGAACUAAACGAGAUGAACUAAAAUAUCAUAAACUAACAGCAUCUGAAGUUGAACACUGCAACGCCCAUUUAUUUCAAUAAGCACUCCUGAUUUUAACGCUUUGUUUUGUUACUCGCGAACAACUAAAGUUGAAAAGGGAUUGAAGUUCUGUUAGAUUCGAGACGGGAAAAUAUUUAUACGAAAAGAUGAAUUAUCCAAAAUUUACAGUGUAAAGACAAGAAAGUAACAUCAACAAUAUUUCAUUCAUCUAAUGAAAUAUCUUAAUUUUCUCCGGACUGCCAAAUUAUUGAGACAUUGAAAACUUGGAUGAUUUAAGUCAUUUUCGAACGUCAACCGGAAACUUGCUUCAACUAUUUUAGUAUCCGAUUGUAAUUGUUGCUACAAUUUCUCCAACUAUCAAUCAUCUAAAAAAGUUACUGAAAUAUUAUUCAUUGAAAGGAAAGAUACAGAAAUAUUAUUCAUCACAUCCGACAAGAAGAAACUUGACUCGUGUAAGUCUGAGGAAUCAUUUUUCAUUCUACAUUUCAAGAAAACAUUAAAGAACAUGUUUCUGUAA